AUGCACAUUGGUGAAGAAUUGCCGGAUCUUGAAGAUGAAGAUCGAAUCUUGUGCAGAGAGAGAGCGUUUUUUUGUGAAGGAAAAGAUGAAAGAAGUAUAAUUCCUUAUCUACCAGAGAUAGUCCGGUGCUUCUUCAGAUCAGAGAAGAUUAUCAGAAAUACAACGAUGAAGAAUGACCAAGUCGAUGCGGUGAGGAUGAUGUAUGAUAAAGUUGCAACAAGGUUUCCGAUUGAGAGAAUUAGAGAGAGAGGAAUAUGGAAUUCUUCAGUUGUUCCUCGAGGAAAGAGUUGA
Molecule: non-coding RNA, 291 nt
Organism: Vicia faba (fava bean)
Lineage: Eukaryota; Viridiplantae; Streptophyta; Magnoliopsida; Fabales; Fabaceae
Source: the annotation of a GenBank genome assembly